Molecule: transfer RNA, 69 nt
Filed under: Rattus norvegicus (Norway rat)
Lineage: Eukaryota; Metazoa; Chordata; Mammalia; Rodentia; Muridae
Rfam family: tRNA
About the family: Transfer RNA (tRNA) molecules are approximately 80 nucleotides in length. Their secondary structure includes four short double-helical elements and three loops (D, anti-codon, and T loops).
Source: Rfam by way of RNAcentral
GGGGAUUUAGCUCAGUGGUAGAGCGCUUGCCUAGCAAGCGCGAGGUCCUGGGUUCGGUCCCCAGCUCCG